RNAcentral lists this ribosomal RNA (467 nucleotides) under uncultured bacterium. Its description in RNAcentral is "partial 16S ribosomal RNA". It matches the Rfam family "Bacterial small subunit ribosomal RNA", at positions 28 to 506 of the family's 1533-position model. The record is from RNAcentral.
GACGAACGCUGGCGGCGUGCUUAACACAUGCAAGUCGAACGGAAAGGCCCUGCUUUUGUGGGGUGCUCGAGUGGCGAACGGGUGAGUAACACGUGAGUAACCUGCCCUUGACUUUGGGAUAACUUCAGGAAACUGGGGCUAAUACCGGAUAGGAGCUCCUGCUGCAUGGUGGGGGUUGGAAAGUUUCGGCGGUUGGGGAUGGACUCGCGGCUUAUCAGCUUGUUGGUGGGGUAGUGGCUUACCAAGGCUUUGACGGGUAGCCGGCCUGAGAGGGUGACCGGCCACAUUGGGACUGAGAUACGGCCCAGACUCCUACGGGAGGCAGCAGUGGGGAAUAUUGCACAAUGGGCGGAAGCCUGAUGCAGCAACGCCGCGUGCGGGAUGACGGCCUUCGGGUUGUAAACCGCUUUCGCCUGUGACGAGGCGUGAGUGACGGUAAUGGGUAAAGAAACACCGGCUAACUACGU